RNAcentral lists this ribosomal RNA (487 nucleotides) under uncultured bacterium. Its description in RNAcentral is "partial 16S ribosomal RNA". It matches the Rfam family "Bacterial small subunit ribosomal RNA", at positions 29 to 507 of the family's 1533-position model. The record is from RNAcentral.
ACGAACGCUGGCGGCGUGCUUAACACAUGCAAGUCGAACGCGCCUGUCCUCUGGGUUUCUGGGGGGUGGGUGAGUGGCGAACGGGUGAGUAACACGUGAGUAACCUGCCCCCUUCUUCGGGAUAACGGUCUGAAAGGGCUGCUAAUACCGGGUAUUCACUGGUCUCCGCAUGGGGUCUGGUGGAAAGGUUUUUUUCUGGUGGGGGAUGGGCUCGCGGCCUAUCAGCUUGUUGGUGGGGUGAUGGCCCACCAAGGCUUUGACGGGUAGCCGGCCUGAGAGGGUGACCGGUCACAUUGGGACUGAGAUACGGCCCAGACUCCUACGGGAGGCAGCAGUGGGGAAUAUUGCGCAAUGGGCGCAAGCCUGAUGCAGCGACGCCGCGUGAGGGAUGGAGGCCUUCGGGUUGUGAACCUCUUUCGCCCGUGGUCAAGCCGCGACGUGGGUCGUGGUGAGGGUAGUGGGUAAAGAAGCGCCGGCUAACUACGUG